Molecule: unclassified non-coding RNA, 164 nt
Organism: Aotus nancymaae (Ma's night monkey)
Lineage: Eukaryota; Metazoa; Chordata; Mammalia; Primates; Aotidae
Source: Ensembl
UGUCCCGAGGCUCCAGCUCCGUUCGGCCCAGCUCUCAGAGAAACGAAGCGCUCAGUACGAACUUUUGAUACUAGUUUUUAUGGGUAUUUACACUCUGGCGAGGGGAGCUGAGUACGGAAGCUCCAUUAAUCGGCCCCAACCUUGGGUUUAGAUAUUCAGUUUAU